RNAcentral lists this ribosomal RNA (429 nucleotides) under Gemmatimonadota bacterium. Its description in RNAcentral is "Gemmatimonadetes bacterium partial 16S ribosomal RNA". It matches the Rfam family "Bacterial small subunit ribosomal RNA", at positions 355 to 776 of the family's 1533-position model. Lineage: Bacteria; Pseudomonadati; Gemmatimonadota. The record is from RNAcentral.
UAGGGAAUCUUCGGCAAUGGACGAAAGUCUGACCGAGCAACGCCGCGUGAGUGAAGAAGGUUUUCGGAUCGUAAAACUCUGUUGUUAGAGAAGAACAAGGACGUUAGUAACUGAACGUCCCCUGACGGUAUCUAACCAGAAAGCCACGGCUAACUACGUGCCAGCAGCCGCGGUAAUACGUAGGUGCCAAGCGUUGUCCGGAUUUAUUGGGCGUAAAGCGAGCGCAGGCGGUUUCUUAAGUCUGAUGUGAAAGCCCCCGGCUCAACCGGGGAGGGUCAUUGGAAACUGGGAGACUUGAGUGCAGAAGAGGAGAGUGGAAUUCCAUGUGUAGCGGUGAAAUGCGUAGAUAUAUGGAGGAACACCAGUGGCGAAGGCGGCUCUCUGGUCUGUAACUGACGCUGAGGCUCGAAAGCGUGGGGAGCAAACAGG